This is a long non-coding RNA of Zingiber officinale, 1091 nucleotides long. RefSeq lists it as uncharacterized. The transcript has 3 exons. The record is from RefSeq and is a predicted model, not a curated record. Lineage: Eukaryota; Viridiplantae; Streptophyta; Magnoliopsida; Zingiberales; Zingiberaceae.
UAAGGGUUUUUUUUUCUCCUUCGUGGUUUUGGCUUCGCCGCCGCCAACAGGAGCCAAGGUGGUCAUCUUCUUCUUUCUCUCACGCUCCUCGUCGGCUGCUGGCUAUUCCCCUCCUCUUCUUCCUUCGGUUGCCGCCACAAAGACCUUGUGGAAGAGGCCAUCUUCGCUGCCUCCAACCCGAUGUUGGCGACGACCACCUCUGACUGCCUCCUCCCCUUCCCACUCUAACAAUGCCGGUCUCUACCUCCUUCUCUCUUCCCGCGGCUAGCACGACUGCCAAUCAUCUAUCCUCACCUUAGCCGCCUCACCGUUGACCCGCUAGUGUCUGUGUCGCCCCCAUGGCCGGACCUACACACUCGCUGCCGGCUUCGUCGAGACCCUCCUCCCUAGCUGUCCCCUAGCAUGGAUCCGAUUACUACGACCGUUGUCGCCGAUCUGACCAUAUCGCGCUUCCGUCGUGUGCUGGCCUUUGAGCCAUCACUGUGUUCUGGCCUUCGAGCAGAGUUUAUGUUUCGACCUCCGCACUGACCUAGGUUGUGUGUCGUGUUUUGAUCCUCGUGCAACUAUUACUAUCCGACCUGUGUGUCGUUAUUGUAUUUUGGUCUGCGUGCCAUUAUCACAGCCCGACCUGUGUGCCACUAUCAUAUCCCUACCUGCGUGCCAAUGUCAUAACCCGGCCUACGUAUCGAGGUCGCAUUCGGUUUCGUGCCACCGCAUCCGGCUUCACGUUAUCAGAUCCAGCUCUUCGUCUGGCUCUGAGUCACCUGCUAUUCCGGGUCGCAAUAACUUGAGCAGUGUCCCAUCCGAGGGUGCCGCCUGGGCCAGGGAUACCAGAGACCGGGGCGACUCAAUCGCUAACUGCAGGUAGCAUUGACCAGAGGACUUUUGAAGACUUGGUCAACACAGAAGCCAUCUUAGCACACCACCCCCUUCGGGACAUCGCGAUUCGGUCAACAUUCCAUCCAACUCACCUGGCGGUCCAUCUGACUCAGAUUCCGGACAGGAUCAGAACCCAUUCAAGUAAAUACAAUACGAACUUAGGAGCACAAGAAGUCUAGCAAAAGACGCAGUUAGCGAGAAGGAUGACACGG